RNAcentral lists this unclassified non-coding RNA (658 nucleotides) under Hevea brasiliensis (rubber tree). Lineage: Eukaryota; Viridiplantae; Streptophyta; Magnoliopsida; Malpighiales; Euphorbiaceae. The record is from RNAcentral.
GUGAAAAGUGUCAUGUAUCUAAUAUUUCAUUGGGCGGGCAAUAAGAAGCAUUCUGAUUUCAACAGCACAAAGCUGUGAUGUAGAAAUGUGCAGGCAUCAAAAGCUUAGUACAAUGUCCAAACUGAAAAUUGACUUAUUGGAAGCCAACUAAAACAUAGCUCUGGGAUAAAAAGAAGCAAUGGAUUUAACAAAAUCCUAAAUGACAUCAUGAAGCACAGCAUAUAUUCCGAUAACAGCAAUAAGAAUCAAAUGUUUGGUUUAUUUGCACUCCGAAAAUGUAAUUAGCUCAUCUCUCAAACUAGCAAUUGGCUUGGAAUCAUGUAUAUGAUGAAUUGGAAAAAUUUCCCUUCAUGAAAAACUAUUGACCAGCCAAACUUACAUGCUGCUUGACUCUGCGAACACAAUCAUAAUAGCUCCUAGUCAGAGGGGCACAUUUCAGUAUAUCAUUACCAUGCUCCUUGUAACAAUCCCGACAAGCUUCAUAAUCGGCCAAACAGGGCAUAGGCUUCUGAUACGGAAGCUUGAACUCCUUAUCACGAAGAUCCUUGGCUCUUUCAGUUACUUCUUGCACCAUGCUAUCCUCCUGCUUCUGCAACUUUUCCAGAAUCCUUUCACUUUCUUGAAUGACAGAUCUAAUUGCAUCUAACUCUGUGUUCGC